UCGUGCUAGGCGGGGAGUUAGCGGUGCCCUGUCGCCCGAAAUCCGCUCAGCGGGGCUGAAUCCCCUCUGGAGGGCCUGCGCUGAACAGGCCGUCGUGACCUUCGGCACCGAUUGGACACCGCGCAACGGGCGGAUGUGAACCCCGUCAGGUCCGGAAGGAAGCAGCGGUAAGCAUUGCAGCCCGUGUCGUGGUUCACUCUAAUCCGGAGCCGGAGGGAAAGCGGCUUGCACUCAGCCGGUUCGACAGAGGGUGCACGG
This 258-nucleotide signal recognition particle RNA is filed under the name Desulfoglaeba alkanexedens ALDC. RNAcentral describes it as "Bacterial large signal recognition particle RNA". It matches the Rfam family "Bacterial large signal recognition particle RNA". Rfam says of the family: The signal recognition particle (SRP) is a universally conserved ribonucleoprotein involved in the co-translational targeting of proteins to membranes. Lineage: Bacteria; Pseudomonadati; Thermodesulfobacteriota; Syntrophobacteria; Syntrophobacterales; Syntrophobacteraceae. The record is from Rfam by way of RNAcentral.